CAGUAGCCGCGGUAAUACGGAGGGUGCAAGCGUUGUCCGGAUUUAUUGGGUUUAGAGGGUGCGUAGGCGGCCUAAUAAGUCAGUGGUGAAAGCCUCCAGCUUAACUGGAGAACUGCCAUUGAUACUGUUUGGCUUGAGUAUACUUGAGGUGGGCGGGAUUGACAGUGUAGCGGUGAAAUGCAUAGAUAUUGUCAAGAACACCAAUUGCGAAGGCAGCUUACUAAAUUAUAACUGACGCUGAGGCACGAAAGUGUGGGUAUCAAACAGGAUUAGAUACCCCCGUAGUCCCUGUCUCUUAUAA
RNAcentral lists this ribosomal RNA (301 nucleotides) under uncultured bacterium. RNAcentral's name for it is "partial 16S ribosomal RNA". It matches the Rfam family "Bacterial small subunit ribosomal RNA", at positions 509 to 809 of the family's 1533-position model. The record is from RNAcentral.